GACGAACGCUGGCGGCGUGCUUAACACAUGCAAGUCGAACGGAAAGGCCCUGCUUUUGUGCGGUGCUCGAGUGGCGAACGGGUGAGUAACACGUGAGUAACCUGUCCUUGACUUUGGGAUAACUUCAGGAAACUGGGGCUAAUACCGGAUAGGAGCUCCUGCUGCAUGGUGGGGGUUGGAAAGUUUCGGCGGUUGGGGAUGGACUCGCGGCUUAUCAGCUUGAUGGGGGGGUAGUGGCUUACCAAGGCCUUGACGGGUAGCCGGCCUGAGAGGGUGACCGGCCACAUUGGGACUGAGAUACGGCCCAGACUCCUACGGGAGGCAGCAGUGGGGAAUAUUGCACAAUGGGCGGAAGCCUGAUGCAGCAACGCCGCGUGCGGGAUGACGGCAUUCGGGUUGUAAACCGCUUUCGCCUGUGACGAAGCGUGAGUGACGGUAAUGGGUAAAGAAGCACCGGCUAACUACGUG
Molecule: ribosomal RNA, 468 nt
Filed under: uncultured bacterium
Lineage: Bacteria
Description: partial 16S ribosomal RNA
Rfam family: Bacterial small subunit ribosomal RNA
Source: RNAcentral